GUGAGUUUUCAGAAUGUCCUAGAUAUUGUACUGAUUUUUUUAUUUGUUUAUUUUUUUGUGGUAAAAAAUGCUUAACAUGAGAUCUACCCUCUUUAACAAACUAUUAAGUGUACAAUCCUGUAUUGUUGACCAUAGUUACAACGUUGAACAGCAAAUCUCUAGAGCUUAUUCUCUUGCUUAACUGGAAUUUUGCACCCAUUGAUUAGUGACUCUCCAUUUCUCCCUUCCCCUGGUUCCAGCCUACUACCAUUCCAUUCUUUGAUCCUAUAAAUUUGACUAUUUUAGAUCUCACAUGUAAGUGGAAUCAUGCAGUAUUUGCCUUUCUGUGACUGGUUUAUUUUGUUUAGUUUUUACAGGAAAUUGCAAAUUUUUUUUUUUUUAAAGAUUUUAUUUUUUUCCUUUUUCUCCCCAAAGUCCCCCGGUACAUAGUUGUAUAUUCUUUGUUGUGGGUCCUUCUAGUUGUGGCAUAUGGGACGCUGCCCCAGCGUGGCUUGAUGAGCAGUGUCAUGUCCGUGCCCAGGAUUCGAACCAACGAAACACUGGGUCUCCUGCAGCGGAGCGCGCAAACUCAACCACUCGGCCAUGGGGCCAGCCCCGUGGAAAUUGAAAAUUUUGUUUAUGUUUAAAAUAACACUUAAGAGCCUGUUACUACAACAGUGUUUUGUUUUGUGUGGGGGAUGUUCUUCUUUCUUUUCCUUCCUUCUUUCUUCCCAUCCUUCUUUCCUUCUUUCCCCUCCAUGUCCUUUUUUAUAAAUUUUCAAAUGAGUAGAACCUCUAACUUACGAAGUUCUGACUGUGUGACAAGCAUUGUGCUGGAUUCUUUGCCGGUAUCAUCUCACUGAAUUCUCACAGCGACCGCAUGAGUCUGUACUCUUAUCUACAAUCACACAUGAAGAAGCCGAGAUUAGAUAACCCACCAUAUAUAUGGCUAGUGAAUGGGAAAGUUGGAAUCUGAAAACAGACUCCUCUUUCUCUCUCCUUUUUAAAAUCCAUGAUCAUUUUUUCCUCUAAGAUAAAUAUGGUAAGUGUUAAUUUGGUGACUGGAGUGACAAAUUUGGCACAUAUUUUCUUUCAAAUGUCAAUUUUCAAAAUAUCUCUUUCUACUUGACAUUUUACACUAAACAGCACUUUAGUAUCUAAAUUUAGUCCAAAUACUUGAUUGUACAGGGGUUUUACAUCUUUGUUUUAAAAGUGUUAAUUAAUUUGACUAUUUUCUUCUUGGAACUACAUAGACAAUUUCAAGGGCAAGUCUUUAAUAUCAUCAAAAUUUAAUUAAACUUAGUACUUUUUAAUUCAAGCUAUUUCUAUUGAGCUAUUAGAAUUAAUAUUGGGAUAAAAGACAUAUACUUAAGGAGAAGCAGAGAAAAACGGAACAAUAAGCAAACCAGUAUUGAUAUGAGGGGAGAGGCUGCUGCUUCUGAGUUUGGAUGAAUGUUUACCGAACUUUGAAUAUUAAGGCUGAGCUGAUUAGAAAACUUGCUAGUAAAUUUUACAGCUGGAUUUCCUGUGCAGUUUAGAGGCAGAAAGCUCCCUGAUACAUUCUACACACUGUUGUUA
Molecule: long non-coding RNA, 1557 nt
Organism: Equus caballus (horse)
Lineage: Eukaryota; Metazoa; Chordata; Mammalia; Perissodactyla; Equidae
Source: Ensembl